RNAcentral lists this long non-coding RNA (313 nucleotides) under Helianthus annuus (common sunflower). RNAcentral's name for it is "sRNA HanXRQr2_Chr17g0825221". Lineage: Eukaryota; Viridiplantae; Streptophyta; Magnoliopsida; Asterales; Asteraceae. The record is from RNAcentral.
AUGGUUAGGCUUGAAGAAUCAUAUUUCAUGGUAAUAUGUAUACUACUUGGUGCGUUCCUCGCAAGUCAUCAGUGUAAUCUCCAACCGUUUAUAGGUAACAAAAUGUGAAAGCCAAUUAAAAGCCAGCUGGAGAGCACUAAAGGCUUGGAAAAGUGGCUAUAACAGUUACCUAAAUAAAGAAGUUUUAUUUCAAUAAAUUAGGUUUUAUCCCAAUAAACAUGUUUGUAAUGGAAACUUGGGAAUCUCCCAUGUAUUUAUUAUUAUAAAAAUAUUGUGUUUUACUCUGAUACACUAUUUUCUAACUACGGUCCUC